Molecule: ribosomal RNA, 429 nt
Filed under: Actinomycetes bacterium
Lineage: Bacteria; Bacillati; Actinomycetota; Actinomycetes
Description: Actinobacteria bacterium partial 16S ribosomal RNA
Rfam family: Bacterial small subunit ribosomal RNA
Source: RNAcentral
UAGGGAAUCUUCCGCAAUGGGCGAAAGCUUGACGGAGCAACGCCGCGUGAGUGAUGAAGGUCUUCGGAUCGUAAAACUCUGUUAUUAGGGAAGAACAAAUGUGUAAGUAACUAUGCACGUCUUGACGGUACUUAAUCAGAAAGCCACGGCUAACUACGUGCCAGCAGCCGCGGUAAUACGUAGGUGGCAAGCGUUAUCCGGAAUUAUUGGGCGUAAAGCGCGCGUAGGCGGUUUUUUAAGUCUGAUGUGAAAGCCCACGGCUCAACCGUGGAGGGUCAUUGGAAACUGGAAAACUUGAGUGCAGAAGAGGAAAGUGGAAUUCCAUGUGUAGCGGUGAAAUGCGCAGAGAUAUGGAGGAACACCAGUGGCGAAGGCGACUUUCUGGUCUGUAACUGACGCUGAUGUGCGAAAGCGUGGGGAUCAAACAGG